GAGUUUGAUCCUGGCUCAGGAUGAACGCUGGCGGCGUGCUUAACACAUGCAAGUCGAACGGGAAAUACUUUAUUGAAACUUCGGUCGAUUUAAUUUAUUUCUAGUGGCGGACGGGUGAGUAACGCGUGGGUAACCUGCCUUAUACUGGGGGAUAACAGCCAGAAAUGACUGCUAAUACCGCAUAAGCGCACAGAACCGCAUGGUCCGGUGUGAAAAACUCCGGUGGUAUAAGAUGGACCCGCGUUGGAUUAGCUAGUUGGCAGGGCAGCGGCCUACCAAGGCGACGAUCCAUAGCCGGCCUGAGAGGGUGAACGGCCACAUUGGGACUGAGACACGGCCCAGACUCCUACGGGAGGCAGCAGUGGGGAAUAUUGCACAAUGGGGGAAACCCUGAUGCAGCGACGCCGCGUGAAGGAAGAAGUAUCUCGGUAUGUAAACUUCUAUCAGCAGGGAAGAUAAUGACGGUACCUGACUAAGAAGCCCCGGCUAACUACGUGCCAGCCGCCGCGGUAAUUC
This 516-nucleotide ribosomal RNA is filed under the name uncultured bacterium. RNAcentral describes it as "bacterial SSU rRNA". It matches the Rfam family "Bacterial small subunit ribosomal RNA", at positions 9 to 526 of the family's 1533-position model. The record is from RNAcentral.